CACAGGCAGAACAACGUAGGAGUGGAGAUGUGAUCUCCAGAGCCACACUGUCUCGUUCGAAUCCUGGCCCCAUUGCAAACUAUCUGGAAUGCCUGAGUUUUGUCAAGCCCAUGGCCACCCAGCCAGUGACUACAUUUCCCGGUUUCCUGUAUAGCUAGGCAUAGCCAUGUGACGAAAUUCUGGCCAAUGGAAUGCCACUGUGAAGAGAAUGAAACUGAAAUAUGUAGAACAUUCUCGGCCUCUCUGAGGAUGGGUGGAAUCAGAACAGAGUAAUUACCCCUUGUGCUGUCUUGUAUGCCUGUCAUCCAACAACACAUGAUGUUCAU
Molecule: long non-coding RNA, 326 nt
Filed under: Homo sapiens (human)
Lineage: Eukaryota; Metazoa; Chordata; Mammalia; Primates; Hominidae
Description: HSALNT0362255
Source: RNAcentral